UUUUUCAUAAGAAAAAAAUGACAGUACCAUGUGAAUAAAGUUCCGGCUCAAAUCGGGCCCGCGGCCGCGGUAAUAAUUAUAGCCCGAGAGUUGUCCCCGAAUUAAUUGGGGUAAAAGGCACCAGGGGGUCCUUGGAAUUUAGAAUUAAAAUAUUUCGGUUUAACGAGGGAAAGUUUUUAAAACAGGGAGGCUUGAGAGCGGAAAGGGAAACGGGGAAUUCCCGGUGUAGCCGCGAAAUUGCCCAAAUAUCAGGAAGAACUCCGGCGGAAAGGCGGCUUUUUGGUCAUCAUCGACCAGAGUUAUAAAAGCCGGGUAGCUUACAGC
RNAcentral lists this ribosomal RNA (324 nucleotides) under uncultured Actinomyces sp. RNAcentral describes it as "partial 16S ribosomal RNA". It matches the Rfam family "Bacterial small subunit ribosomal RNA", at positions 452 to 776 of the family's 1533-position model. Lineage: Bacteria; Bacillati; Actinomycetota; Actinomycetes; Actinomycetales; Actinomycetaceae. The record is from RNAcentral.